CCAGAGGAGAAUGCCCGGCCCAGUCAGUCCCAUCAAAGCUGAGAAGUUUCUGCACACUCAGUGGGCAGUUUGCUGGGAUUAUCAGUCUUGGCCCCGGGCCUGGGGUGGGUGUGGGGAGAGGAGCUCCGAGCUGUGACUUUGUUUGCUCUCCCCGCUCAUUCUUUCACCUCUCUCACUCAGGCCUGUUGUGGCUGACUGUGGCUGCUGAGAGUGGAGGUGGGGAAGGGGCAGUCAUAAUAAUGGUGGUGGUGAUGAUUUUUAUAAAGCUAACGUGAUUGAGCACAGACGCUGCGCCACACGCUGAGCUUGCGGCUUUGGUGGCUCUCCAGACCUGAGUCCACCCGAGAUGGGAACUGAGACUGGGAGGAGCAAGGACAGACCAGCUGGGGUUGCCCUGAGGUUCAGCAGGGAGUCUGGCUAGAUGGACGGUCCUUCUCAGUUUAAGACCCAACCAGCUGUGGAAAGGAUGAGGCAGGCUUGCCUCGUGACAUCUAGUGGCUUCUGUGGUUGAUGCAUGAGACCCACGUUUUUCUGUCUAACUCCAGUUCACCAGUUAAAUUCGAACAUUUGAAUUUCCUUGAUGCAGUUUGAAGGGGACAACUGAUGAAGUCAGAUGUGUUUAUGAAGGUGAUCAAAAGGAAGUAGAUGCUAUGCAAAUGAAAAAAAAUACUGGACUAAUCAUUUCUGUGGUUGUUUAUAAAUUUAAAAAUGAAAAUACUUCGCAAGUAUGGAGAUAAGCACGUGACCAUCUUCUCUUUAACAAAAUCAUGAGCUGUCAAAGGUCUCAAAAGUAACUAGUUUUAUGAGGCAAAUGCAAGAAGAACCAGAAAUAAUGAUAAGCUAGAACUUAUUAGAGAUUUACUUGAAAUCUGGAGUCAGUCUUUCUAAGAUGGAUCUGCCCCAGGUUCCUGCAUGACAGUCAGUUGCAUGUGGAAGACGUUGGUCAUUCUGAGUUUAUAUGCCUUCGAAGUUAGGGAAAUACGGAAUGAAAAUUUGCUAUGUUUAAAUCAUUAAAUUUUGUAAUAAAGUUUUAAAAACUAUCCCUUUUUUAUUACUUCUGUAAAUUACUCAUAAAAAUAAAAA
Molecule: long non-coding RNA, 1083 nt
Filed under: Equus caballus (horse)
Lineage: Eukaryota; Metazoa; Chordata; Mammalia; Perissodactyla; Equidae
Description: lncRNA (ENSECAG00000045247.1)
Source: RNAcentral